UAAGAACAGAAUUUACUAACAAAAUUGCUCAAUUUCUGUUGUGUUGAGUUAAUUUGAUUUCAUUGAUGAAGAUGAGAUUUUCCUAGCUUAAAUUGGUUGAAGGUCAAAAGGUCAGAGAUUAUUUGACUUUUUAUAGUCAAAAGGUCAGAGAUUUAUAUACAUAUAUGUAUUACAUAUGUAUGUAUAUAUAUGGCUUUACUCUCUGUUCAUAUUAAUUUUUAGUAUUUUGUAUUGAAUUGCUCAUCAAAGUUAAAUUGUUCUAUUAUACUAAUUAGAACAAAAUUUGUUGAAUUGAAUUGAUUUGAUGAUCUAGGAAUAUCGUUCGCAUAGCUCAAAUUGUUCGCAUAGCCAGGGAAGAAGUCCAUCUCCUGCACCUAAUUGUUCAAGCUCAAAUUGGAAGUCUCCUGUCAGUCGCUCCCAGUCCACUUCAACUCCAACUGCCAGGAAACUCUUUUCUGAAUCUCCUCGUAGUGGUAGUAGCCCUGGUUCUCCAACAGAAGACACAAGAUCAUCGAUUGAGAAUUCGUAUUCUCAGGCCAAUGGAACUGAGGCUGAAAAUAACAUUAAUUUGAUAAUAUACCCCUGUGAGAGAUUAAAAGUGGUGUCUAGUGAUCCAGUACCAGGCAUAGACGUGACUAAAAGAGAGGUAUUUCUCUUUUAUACUCAAGUAAUGGGGAGAGAGCCUCAGUUGUAUACAUUUUAAUGCUGUGGGAAGACUUUUUAUUUUUUAUUUUUAAUUUCUGGUUGUGAGCUGUGAUGACAACUCCUUUGGUGCUUUCAAAACAUGGGAGCCUAGUGAGUCAGAACACUCUAGUUCUUUGAAGAUAUGGGAUUAUUCUGAUUCUGAGGCUGCUCCUGCUUCUUCUUGGUCUACUCUCCCUAAUAAGUCCUGAAUGUGCAGACCAUUGCCUAUGGAUAUAGGAAGGUGUACUUGUGUUAUUGUUAAGGAAGCAUCACCAGAUGGAUUUCAUGGGGGGACUCUGUAUUCUCUGUAUACCAAUGUAAGAUUUUUCUGUUUUGUUUUCUUAUUUCAACUGUAAAAUAUUGGGGUAAUUUCAAAUAGUCAAUGUACUAUCAUAUAAUUAUAAGUACUCACAUUUUUUCUUUUUUCUUUCAAAGUUGCAGGAAACGUGAAAUUAGUUUCAAUCAUGAAAACUGGUCACAUUACUAUGAAAGAUACAUCAUAUUCAUUGCAUUGCUUCUUGUAGUUAGCUUUAGGAGUUUCUUUGCCUUUCAUUCCAGCUAUUGGUUGGAUAAUAGAAUUGAAUGGAAAAAAUCUGAUCAAUUUGCUUGAUUGAAUUUGUAGCUCUUUCCUUCUGUCCUUCUAGGUGCACUAAUUACCUAACAUUACAGACUAAAUUAUUAUGGCAUGCUAUGAAUUGGAAUCUCAAUUUCUCUCUGGUCUCGUCUUUGCCGGUAGAAUCACUAUCAGUUUCCUGCCAAUUGAGUAUCUUCUUACUAAGUUUUGUGUAUCUUACUGGAACUCCCAAAGGACAAGUGGUUUUGCUGUGAUGAUUACAGUAGAAUUCUAAGUGGAAAAAGUCAUUAUCCAGAACAUUAUUUCUCUCAAGGUCUGCUGCUAAUUGCUAUUGGUGAUCGAGAUAGUGACAUGAUCAAGAGACAUGAAUAUCUGCAAUUAGUAAUUAAUGAUAAAUGUUACAAAUAGAUUUUUAUUAGACUUAUUAAACGUUACAUGAGCUUUUAUCAUGUUUUUUUGUACUUGGACCAAAUUUCAUUUGUGAUACAUGUAUUGAAUAUUUUGAUGGUAUAAGAAAUAUAUUAGAUUUAUCAUCUUAUUUUGUA
Cannabis sativa is the source of this 1803-nucleotide long non-coding RNA. RefSeq lists it as uncharacterized. Lineage: Eukaryota; Viridiplantae; Streptophyta; Magnoliopsida; Rosales; Cannabaceae. The transcript has 4 exons. The record is from RefSeq and is a predicted model, not a curated record.